This 316-nucleotide ribosomal RNA is filed under the name uncultured bacterium. Its description in RNAcentral is "bacterial SSU rRNA". It matches the Rfam family "Bacterial small subunit ribosomal RNA", at positions 28 to 334 of the family's 1533-position model. The record is from RNAcentral.
GACGAACGCUGGCGGCGUGCCUAACACAUGCAAGUCGAACGGAGUUAGCCCCUUCGGGGACUGACUUAGUGGCGAACGGGUGAGUAACGCGUGAGAAACCUGCCUUUCAGUGGGGGACAACAGUUGGAAACGACUGCUAAUACCGCAUAGUUUCUUUUUCCGCCUGGAAGAAGAAGGAAAGAUGGCCUUUGCGCUAUCACUGAGGGAUGGACCCGCGGCGUAUUAGUUAGUUGGUGGAGUAAUGGCCUACCAAGACGAUGAUACGUAGCCGACCUGAGAGGGUGAUCGGCCACAUUGGGACUGAGACACGGCCCAA